This is a long non-coding RNA of Lycium barbarum (goji berry), 824 nucleotides long. RefSeq lists it as uncharacterized. The transcript has 3 exons. The record is from RefSeq and is a predicted model, not a curated record. NCBI's taxonomy places the organism in Eukaryota, Viridiplantae, Streptophyta, Magnoliopsida, Solanales, Solanaceae.
UGGCAUCAUUUGAGAGCUCAUUUCUCUUAUUAUGUAAACAUAUCACACAUGCAGCAAUUUUCUAGAAUUAAAGGAGUUCAUAAGAAAAGUUGGCUGCAACUGUACGGAGAAAAUAGUGAAGGAUCUUUUUCCUCUUUCUCCUUUUAGUAACCCCUGAUGUGCAGCAUCUAAAUACUUAGUAGCAACAAUGAUUAUUUCCCUUUAGAGCAGCAACGUGCUAUACAAAUAUAGCAGCAACAUUAAUUCUCCUUUUGGGAUUAGUAACAAUGUUUCUUUCCAAUUUAGACUUUUAGCUAAACGAUUGUGUUUCUCAAGAAAGGUAGCAGCAACGUACUACUGUUUUCAUAAGCAGCAACUUGACGUUGCAUUUUACAGAUGAAAUGUAUAAUUUUUUCUCAAGAACAAUAUUCGGAUUCUAAGCACCGCUUCGAUCUCGUUGUUCCGAUUUGUCGUGUUGUUGAAUUCGAGCUUUCUUCAAAGUAGAGUAAGAUUGAAGAAGAGUAGUUCUUGUCAUAUAAGGUCGAGGAGCAGAUACGAGUUGAGUUCUUGAGCCGUUGAGCUAAGACCAGGUAGACAGGGAGACGACGCAGACCUUUAGGAGCUACCAGCAGAUUUGCAGAAGCACUCCAUUAUUCCAAAGGUUCUAAUCGGGUUAUACUUUUGUGUAUAUAUAUAUGUAUAAGUAUUUUGGGCACGACGGGGUCUUGUCCCGUCCAUAUGUCUAGUACUCUAGUAGAGGCUCGUAGAUACGUAUGUGUGGGUUAUAUGGUCUCACAAGGUCACUACUGUAUAUAUGCAGAUAUGUGUACAUUAUCUUUUGAUAG